Molecule: ribosomal RNA, 229 nt
Filed under: uncultured bacterium
Lineage: Bacteria
Description: partial 16S ribosomal RNA
Rfam family: Bacterial small subunit ribosomal RNA
Source: RNAcentral
UGAGCAAUCUGCCCUUCACAUCGGAAUAACCAUUGGAAACGAUGGCUAAUACCGAAUAUGACUUCGGAUCGCAUGAUCUGAAGUGGAAAGCUCCGGCGGUGAAGGAUGAGCUCGCGGCCUAUCAGCUUGUUGGUGAGGUAAUGGCUUACCAAGGCGACGACGGGUAACCGGCCUGAGAGGGUGACCGGCCACACUGGGACUGAGACACGGCCCAGACCUNUACGGGAGG